UAGUCCACGCCGUAAACGAUGAUUACUCGGUGCUGGCGAUAUACUGUCAGUGCCUAAGCGAAAGUGAUAAGUAAUCCACCUGGGGAGUACGAUCGCAAGGUUGAAACUCAAAGGAAUUGACGGGGGCCCGCACAAGCGGUGGAGCAUGUGGUUUAAUUCGAUGAUACGCGAGGAACCUUACCUGGGCUUAAAUGCAUAAUGACAGGCUGAGAAAUCAGUCCUUCUUCGGACAGAAUGCAAGGUGCUGCAUGGCCGUCGUCAGCUCGUGCUGUGAGGUGUCGGGUUAAGUCCCGAUAACGAGCGCAACCCCUAUUUCUAGUUGCCAGCACAUAAUGGUGGGGACUCUAGAAAAACUGCCUACGCAAGUAGUGAGGAAGGUGGGGGACGACGUCAGGGGUCAUCACGGGGCCCUUACGUCCAGGGGCUACACACGUGCUACAAUGGGUAGAGACAGAGGGGCAGCCACCUGGGUGAC
This 475-nucleotide ribosomal RNA is filed under the name uncultured bacterium. RNAcentral describes it as "bacterial SSU rRNA". It matches the Rfam family "Bacterial small subunit ribosomal RNA", at positions 791 to 1265 of the family's 1533-position model. The record is from RNAcentral.